AUGUUGUUUGGUUACUUUAUGAAAGUCAACGUCAAGACCAGGUAAUUGAAAUUUGGAUACCUAUUAAUAACACGCACCUACAAUCCUGGCUAAUACCUUCGACGAAAGAGACAAGAUUUGUGAAAAGAAAAAGUGAGCAAGCCAAGCAUGCAUUGCAAAUUGCAAGGUCCUAACAUGCCUCGUGCCUUAUGAUUGCGAGUCAGAAAUCUAAUCAAUUACAUACCUUUAGAACGACGAUUAGUUUUGUGAGGAAGAAUGUUGUCAACAAUCAAUGAAAUGAUAGAAAGAAUUGACAAUUGAGCAAUUUCGAGAACAUAAUCUACUAAAUGAGAGAGUUACCGUUACUCAUGAGUCCACGAGAAGCUAGCUACCGUUACCGUUGACGCCGAGAGGCCGAGAUAGACGGGUGGUAGAUGAGGCGGCCAUCUUUAAAAAUUCAAAUAGCCGUGACGUAGAAUCACUGCUAUCAGCCAAUGAGAGUGAAGCUUCCGCAGCCGUAGCUCAAGUACGUCACUACGUUUGUGUUUGCUAUUUGCUUCCGCCGGGCGCCGAAUUAUUAUUAUUGUCACUGUGAGAAUGAUGAAUGGAUGUAAAGUAAAAAGUUUGGUGUUUCUCAAUACAUUAAUUUUGCAACUCUUCACACAACAUGCAAAGAAGAACUUGAUCAGCAGAUUCAUCAGAUAUUGUGCUCCUUUUGCAGUGUUCCGUUUUGUCAAAAUCUGUGGCUGUGAGCAUUGAUAUCUGCGGUGACUGGUCUCAUAAUCUAGGCAUAGUGGAAGCUGACCUGUAGUGUACUGCGUUCGACUCCGACUCCGUCUGUCUCCUGUCAUCGUGGCAAUCUUUAAAUUAUUUGGAAAAGCUGUGGACAGGAGGUUAACGGCGAUUUUUCAACAUCAAUGAUCUACCAAAUUUAUGGAAUUACACUUUGUGAUUGAAUCUCACAUUAGUCCACUUCACACACCGAAUGUGGACUCCACUGAGCAAUACCUUCUAAGUGUUUAAUUUUUUUCUCAAGUGCUUUGAUUGUAAUAUUUUUGUAAAUUUACUUUUUUCUCAAAAUGAGCGAUUCAAUAUUGGUUUAAACGUCGCUCAUGAGAAGUGGUGGUGAAAUAUAUCUAAUAAAACAGUGAUGACCGUGGUGCGUGAAGUGAACAUCUCUCCUUGGAACAUACUUAUUCUGAAGAAUGUUGAGUUUUGUGCUGAAGAUACCAUCGCCUUUCGUACCUUUUGUGCCAUCAUCUAACCUGGGAAGAACUGAAGUGGGUGAGUUAUUUAUUCUAUGAAUUUCCCAGAUUAGUAUCUUGCCAAAGGAAGAGUAAAGAUUGCAUAUGAAUCUUAUAGUCGGCCGUAAGGAUCCUUAAGGGCAGCUAUGAGUCAACCUCCAAGUUUUGUUCGAUUUUUUUCUUCCCAUGUACACUGGCAAAAAAAUUUUCACCAUAUACCCAAAAUCCUUUCCAAUGACUAGCUAUUAAAUAUUUACCGAAUUCUGGGUAACAUCU
RNAcentral lists this long non-coding RNA (1499 nucleotides) under Bemisia tabaci. RNAcentral describes it as "lncRNA ENSSSA3NGG009270". The record is from RNAcentral. Lineage: Eukaryota; Metazoa; Arthropoda; Insecta; Hemiptera; Aleyrodidae.